Molecule: long non-coding RNA, 408 nt
Organism: Cydia splendana
Lineage: Eukaryota; Metazoa; Arthropoda; Insecta; Lepidoptera; Tortricidae
Exons: 3
Source: RefSeq, a predicted model, not a curated record
UUUAAUUUCAGGAUAUGGAUCUGAAUUCAGUGAAAGAGAUUGGCAUUGGAAACCUUCGAGAUUAAAAAGUGAGGAAGACGAUAAGCUAUCACCAUAUUUAAUGGCGCCAUCACGACGGACUUCUUCAAUAAGCGUAUGCAAGGUACAACCCCCACAUCCCCCGGCGGCAUAAGCUCAGUAACCCUAGUGGGGACCCCAAAGAAGUCUAGCCCCGAACCCCCGGACCCCAAGACCCGGAAAUCCCCGACCAAGGACAAUGACGUGGCCGCAGCCAUCAUGAAGGAUGAGAGCAUAGAGCUGGUGGAGCAGAGUGAUGAAGAUAUUAAGUAUAAGGAGGAAGAACAGGAGAAGAAUAAAAAAGAGGAGAAGUUUAAAAUAUCGCAGAGGUUUUCAGAGGUAAGUUUCUUU